RNAcentral lists this ribosomal RNA (330 nucleotides) under uncultured eukaryote. RNAcentral's name for it is "partial 18S ribosomal RNA". It matches the Rfam family "Eukaryotic small subunit ribosomal RNA", at positions 1470 to 1796 of the family's 1831-position model. The record is from RNAcentral.
CCCUUAGAUGUUCUGGGCCGCACGCGCGCUACACUGAUGCAUUCAACAAGUUCACCUUGGCCGAGAGGCUUGGGCAAUCUUUUGAACAUGCAUCGUGAUAGGGAUAGAUUAUUGCAAUUAUUAAUCUUGAACGAGGAAUUCCUAGUAAACGUAGAUCAUCAAUCUGCAUUGAUUACGUCCCUGCCCUUUGUACACACCGCCCGUCGCACCUACCGAUUGAACGGUUUAGUGAGGGCCUCGGAUUGGUCUCGGCCCGCUCUUUACCGGGCGGCGCCGUUGGUCGAGAAGACGCUCGAACUUGAUCGUUUAGAGGAAGUAAAAGUCGUAACA